UUAUGGCUCAGGAUGAACGCUAGCUACAGGCUUAACACAUGCAAGUCGAGGGGCAGCAUGAUCGAAGCUUGCUUGAUGAUGGCGACCGGCGCACGGGUGAGUAACGCGUAUCCAACCUUCCCUAUAGUAGAGGAUAGCCCGGCGAAAGUCGGAUUAAUACUCUAUGUUUUCCAAUGAGGACAUCUGAGCUGGAACAAAGGUUUACCGCUAUAGGAUGGGGAUGCGUCUGAUUAGGUUGUUGGCGGGGUAACGGCCCACCAAGCCUACGAUCAGUAGGGGUUCUGAGAGGAAGGUCCCCCACAUUGGAACUGAGACACGGUCCAAACUCCUACGGGAGGCAGCAGUGAGGAAUAUUGGUCAAUGGGCGAGAGCCUGAACCAGCCAAGUAGCGUGCAGGAUGACGGCCCUAUGGGUUGUAAACUGCUUUUAUAUAGGGAUAAAGUGACCCACGUGUGGGUUUUUGUAGGUACUAUAUGAAUAAGGACCGGCUAAUUCCGUGCCAGCAGCUGC
RNAcentral lists this ribosomal RNA (510 nucleotides) under uncultured bacterium. RNAcentral's name for it is "bacterial SSU rRNA". It matches the Rfam family "Bacterial small subunit ribosomal RNA", at positions 17 to 518 of the family's 1533-position model. The record is from RNAcentral.